GUGCUUGCUGAAGACUUCAGAAUUCUUUUAAAUAAAGAAUAACAUCCAAAAAGCCUGCUUCAGUUGCUUAAAAAUGUAAUCAAAUGUUCAGCAGCAUACAUGACUGAGAAGUCUAAAGAGAAGAAAAGGAGGCACAAGCCCUGAAGAACCAACACAGCUAUGGGAGAGUGAACUGCAUGCUUUCCCUUCUUCUACAUUACCGACUGAGUUGUCGAUUGCUUUCCAAUUCUGGUCAAUCAGUUUUGCCUGUGCGGAAACUGGAUAAGGCAAUUGGACAUUACAGACGGAAAGGGUGGUCUGGGCUAAACCACAAGACUAGAAGUAAGGAGAUCUGUGUUUAAUUCCUGAUUCUGUUCUGGAUUUCUUAUUUGGUCUUGGUGGGGUCCAGUUUAAGCGAGUGGAGUGGAGAGCUGUACAUGGAAGCUAGCUCCCAAAAAGUCCAGAUCAGCUACAGACCUCAAACUUUUACCCAGAGGAAUGGUAUAUUGACCAUAGAAUGCAGAUGCAGCCUGCAAACCACCUCCCAGGGACAGGUAUUGAAAUUUUGCUAUUAAAUUGACUCUUGUCAUUUGGAGAGGAGAAAAUCAAUGGUUUAGCACUGAAGAUUUGUGGGUAUACAAGAAGGAUCUUUCCACAGAAAGUCAUUCUCCCGAGGAAAAAAUUAACUAAAUUCUACUGCCUUUACUUGCAGAUUCCCAAGUUACAGAGGACCUGAUCCUAUUCCUAAUGACAUCGAUGGGAGUUUUGUCACAGCCUUCGGUGGGAGGUGAAUCAAGCCCAAAGUAACCUGAGGAGAGUUUUCAGCUCCUUCUUACUUUCUGCUCCUUGCAGGAUUGUACAUCAAGAUGGUGAUUCAUUAAAGAAGGACCUUUCAAAGAUAGUUGCUGGCUAUAUGUCUGAUGAAGCUAUUGGGUCAGUGACGUGGCUAGUGAUACAACAUCCUCUAAUAGCUCCUUGAGAGUCAGUAUCACUGUCUGUAAGAACUGCAUUAGAACCCAUGGGCCUAGAGCCAGGGAUUACAGGGUCUGAAGCAAACAGUACUUCCUCAUUGCCACCAGCUGCCCACAGAGGAGUACCACCAAGAAGUACUGAGAUGUUAAGCCCUGCAGGAAGUCUCAACAUAAGGCACAUGAGCAACAGUCCUGAUUCUGUGAUUGGCUGGCACUCUCCAUAUAAACCAGGAAGUCACUUCUGGAAGUUGUGUGAGCAAUGCAGACCUCUGGUGUGCUUCUGCCUGAGAUGCCACUCCCUGCUGCGACUCGCCUGGAUCCUGGAUACUUGACCUUGGCCCAGCCUCUGACCCUGAUCUUGGUUUACUAUCUUCAACUUAGGGCCAUUGCUGACGCUGGUGGAAGACCUUGGCCCAGCCUAACCCCUAUUCUCACCUCAGGCUCUCAAUUUGGUAAUGGACUCUGACUCUGAGGUUUUGACCUGGCCAGUCCCUGGACUGACCUUCAACUCUUCAGCCCAGACACUGAGCAUUUCACCCUGCACACAAGCCACCAAUGAUCCAGCCCUGGCUACUUGGCAAAAACAUGUUUUCUUUUUACCUAUUUUAAGAGAAGAAAUGAAUGAGAAAAUUAUUUCCUUCUUUUCUACUGAAAAAGUUAGUACUACUUUAUUUACCAAAUGUCUGUUGUCUUAAGACAUUCAUCAUGAACUAACAUCAUAAACUGGAUACCAACAAACCAAGUGCAGCACAUUUCUAAGUAACAUUAACAAAUACAUGUUUAAAGCUCCAAGUUAUAUUAUUAUUUUAAGUUUCAGAGAGGAUCUGUAUUGUGCAUAUGUGUUUUGAAUACGUUAUAGAUCUGAAGUGUAUCAUAUUCUGUAUUCAGUAUCUGAUGGUGAAAGCAUAGAUGGAAACUAUGAUGUUCUUCUUGGUGAUAUUUACGUAGGUUCUGUGACUGGCUUAAGGUUUAAAUAAAAUCUGAUCACAAAACAAAUUCCCGUAUUCCAAAACAAAACGACCACCACCGCCUCACCUAAAUUAGAAAAGAACAAGUAUGUCUUGAUAAACUUGAUCUUUAUAUGGCUAGCUCCUUUCUAGUGCAGCUAUUCCUUUAGAACCCUCAUUUUCUGGUGGUCAGAGUUUAUUAUUUAACAUAAAACUUUUUUGUGCAUUGGAAUUUUUCUUCCCUCUUCCACCCCUUGCUUUUAUUGAACCCUUUAUGAAAUUCUGUGGAUUGGAUAAAAUGCAAGCCAGAACUAACCCCUAUUUGAUUUGUUUUUUUAAAACCAAAAUUAACCAGAGACUUUGCAAAAACUCAGCUUUCUUACUCCAUCUCUAUUUUUUAGUUAUUUAAUUUAUUUCAAUAGUAUUUCUAAUCAUGUUGGUGGGAAAAUAUCGGUUUAAUUUUACUUAACCAACAAAAAAGAUAGGACAGUGUAGUGCUACCGCCAUGUGUUAGAGAGAGGCCACUCGGUUCUAUAAAUGCAGUAUAGGUCAAUUCAGCCUGGCUCAAUGGCUGAUGCACACGCACCUACGGAGAUGAGAGAAAAAAACAAAAGAAACACUGGUUCUGUAGAUCUCCCAUUGCUAGAUUCACUUUUUUAAAAACAAGGUGCCCAACUUUAGAGUGCAGGAUUCUUCUGUCUGUAACAGCACCCUAAGAAUAAUGAAAAUACACUUCCAGUAUAGGCUGGAUGGUGGGCGAAUCACCUAGUACUCAAAAUUUGUAAUAACAUUUGCCAAACACAACUUUUUAGUUCUUUCAAAAGGGUCUUUCCUAACCAUUGAAGAUAUUUCAUCACAGAAAUUGUCUGUCACCAAUAUGAAGACAGCCUAAUUUUGCCUGGAGAGUUCAUAGUCAUUUUACCCUGAUGAGAAGUGAUAGUGUAAUAGAAUCUUGCAAAAUUAACCAGCUUAGGCACAGAAUCUUCCCACUCAUCCCAUGAUAGUAAUUAAACAAUGGAAUAUUUUAAUUUAUCUUUAAAAACGUUUAAAAAAAUACGUGCUCCUUGUGAGUGAGUGAGAAGAAUUUUGCAAAGCAGCAGUAAGAUAAAUGAAGAAUGACUAAGUCAAAACAAACUUAGUGGACUUCAUAACCAAAGUGAGGAACCUCGCUGGCUCAUCUUGUACAGAUGCUGCCUUUGGAUUCAAGCCAUGGUAAUGUUCAGGAUGAGGAUGGAAGUUAAGGUAUCUGUCAGUAGUACUGUAAUAGUGUAAGAAUUUCUUGUAUUUAUGGAUUUCCUUUGGUUAUAAAUGGUCCCUUCUCAUUGUUUUCUAACAGGAGGUACAAACACCAGAUAACUGGCACCAUACGCUUUGUUCUGCUGUUGCACUGUCGUUGCUGACUUCCCAACUGGGCAGUUCAAUGAGGUGGAAGAUAUUAACUAAACUGGCAGCCAUAAUUAAGUGGGUGGAGGUGAGGACAUCUGCUCUUCAUAUCUUGAGUUUGCCAACACAUUUUAGGCAUGUCCAGCUUUCUGUUGUUGCAAAAGCCCCUACAAAUAUAUCAAGUGUAGUUCAAACAAGUUGGAACCUCCUGCUUGGUUUGGAAAAUUUUGGCAAGCUUUUUUCCUUCUGCAUCUAGCUAAUAAUUUUUCUGGUCUUCACAACAUGGGCAAAGUGUCUCCAGAUUUCAUGUGAUAUUCUAACAGAUGUUUUGUGAUUAUAUACAGUAUGUAUAACCACUUUGUCAUUGCAUUAAUUCAAUUGGCAUAAUUUUUGACACAAUUAUCCAUGGCUGUGAAACACUAGGGUCAAAGUAUGUUCAGUAUUGGUACUGUAACUCCUGCAGCAGACUGACUGCUGUAUGUCAUUUAAAAAAAAAAUCUUCAUGUGUACAUGUUUCCUGUUUGUUUAUUUUAGAAUACCUGACCAUAGUAGAACGGACAGACUUGAAUGUUGUCUAAUGUGCAGUAACUGACAUAUAAACUGUGUUUUUCAAUGACAUUUAAUUUUAAAUUGUUUUAAUCACUAUAACACAUAAUAGGUAUUAGAGAGUAAUGGAAUCAUAUGCAUGUUGAUGGUAUGUUGGUGAUUUGGAGGAACAAAAUAGAAGAAGCUAUGAGGGCUAUGUCUGCACCAAUGAAUAAGGGAAUGCAGUCAAUAUUUGUGAAUGAGGUUUACCACUGUAGCCAAGAAGGCACUUUCCCAGCUGCAUCUGGCAAGGUGAGACAAUUUUUCUUUCAGAGGCAGACAUCGCCGCUAUAAUCCAUGCCUUUGUCAUCUCAAAUCACCUUGGCCCUAUUCCAUACCUGGCCUAGCUUUUGCUACUAUAACAAGCAGCAUAGAUGAAGAAUGCUCACUCCUUCUGUCUCAGUCAUGUCCAGACCUGAGUCCAAUCCACACAAACACCAGUGUGUCUGAAUUAUCCAGCAUCUCAGCAGUACUGGUAAAACACCCCCUCUGUUUCCUUACAUAAUUACCCAAAGGUCACUUUUUGGAUCACCUCAACCUUUCUCUGCUCAGUCCUCAACUUACUUUUAUGGCUCAGUGGAAUCUGUCAAGUUACAUAUGUAUAAUUUUUGCAUAAUGGGACUGAGUCUCUCUCAUGGUUAUGAAACAGAAGUAACUUCACUGAAAUCAAUGCAACUACAUCAGUAUACGACUAGUAAGAGAGGCUUUUCUGUGAUUUUUAAUCAAACAAAUGUCCACUGGGCCUCUUGUUAGCAAUCUCCCAGCCCUAAAUCAGGAUGAAUCUGGACACCUACAGAUUCAGCGAUCAUCUUUAUCUUUCAGCCUUUGUACUUCCAUCAUAUUUAAUAUAAAAUUAUGACUAAGCAGGACUACAGAAUAGAGCUCCACCUUGUCUCUUCCAUUCCCCCUGCCACCGCUUCCCCAUUCCUUUGCAUAAUGUUUCAUCAGGUGGUGACUAGUGAUGAGUAAAACUUUGAGUCUGAUGAGGAAAAUUUUAUGGCAAACUGAAAAAAAAGUUUAACUGAGUGAUGGUUGGUUGUAGGAAAUAUGGUUGGCAAAGAGCAUCAUAAAUUGGAGUGUGAAGUAUGGUUUACUAUGUAUUGCAACAAGGAACAAAAAAAAUAAGCGGUAUUUACCAAUCACAUGAACAAAAACUUCAUGAAGUUCAUCCCUUUACUCCCAAGAACAGCAGUAGCAUUAGAAUAGGUCCACCCUGUUGAUCCAAUUUUCCAACAACAAUGCUGAAAUAUACAGUGAUAAAGAAUUUAGGCCCAGAUCUUCAAAAAAUGUAAGGAUUUGGGUCUGAGUCUUUUUCUGGAUGGCAAACAAUACAUUAACCACCAAGAAAAAGCAAUUUAUUGAUGCCCCAUAACAAAUUCCUGUGCAAUAUCCCAGAGUUAACAAUGGGCUAAUGGUUCAGCUACCCUUAAAGGCUUAUAGGAUUGGAUAAGCAAUUUCAAGGAAAUAAUCUGAAUAUACAAAAUAAAAAAGAAGGAAGUGAUGUUCUGUUAAUGCAUCUCUUUUACUAUGGCAAGGUUUGGGGGUGUUUUUAAUGGAAAAGAUAAAUGUAAAGUGCAAUAUUCUUAAGUACCUUCUUGGAUCAUUGUAUUAGACUGUACACUUAUUACCUGAGUACAGGCUAAAAAAAUUUUUAAAGCAACAAUAAAUGUUAUUUACUCUUCCUGACAUACAAAAUCUGCCUCACCUCUAUUUCCAAUAUGAACUGAAUUUUACAUUUACUAGUAAUACUAUAUGCAACCUCACUGAAAAUCUUUAUAUAAUUUCUAUCGUGUCUUUAAAAUUUGCACAAGCGUAAAUCUCAAUAAAAUCUCUUAAAUAGUUUA
Molecule: non-coding RNA, 5709 nt
Organism: Chrysemys picta bellii (western painted turtle)
Lineage: Eukaryota; Metazoa; Chordata; Testudines; Emydidae
Source: RefSeq, a predicted model, not a curated record